AGCUCCAAUAGCGUAUAUUAAAGUUGUUGCAGUUAAAAAGCUCGUAGUUGGAUUUCUGGUUCUUCAGGCACUCGACUCGAAUGAGUAAGCGGUGUUUGGGGAUGCCAUUUUUGCGAGGACCUUGUCUACAAUUAGUUUUGUGGGUUUGUUAAUCGCAUCUUUUACUGUGAAAAAAUUAGAGUGUUUAAAGCAGGCAUUUUGGCUCUGAAUACAUUAGCAUGGAAUAAUAAGAUAGGACUUUGGUGCUAUUUUAUUGGUUUGCACACCAAGGUAAUGAUUAACAGGGACAGUUGGGGGUAUUCGUAUUUAGUUGUCAGAGGUGAAAUUCUUGGAUUUACGAAAGACGAACUACUGCGAAAGCAUUUACCAAGGAUGUUUUCA
RNAcentral lists this ribosomal RNA (381 nucleotides) under uncultured eukaryote. RNAcentral describes it as "SSU rRNA". It matches the Rfam family "Eukaryotic small subunit ribosomal RNA", at positions 587 to 972 of the family's 1831-position model. The record is from RNAcentral.